This is a long non-coding RNA of Hyaena hyaena (striped hyena), 967 nucleotides long. RefSeq lists it as uncharacterized. The record is from RefSeq and is a predicted model, not a curated record. Lineage: Eukaryota; Metazoa; Chordata; Mammalia; Carnivora; Hyaenidae. The transcript has 4 exons.
GGGAGGUUGCUCCUGAAUUUUCUAUGGGAGCGGUGCGUCAGUUCCGCCUGUCCCGGCGCUUCCAAACUUCCUGAUUGUGUGCUUGGAACCUACGGCGACAGGGCGACUUGGGGGGGGAAGAAGCCUGAGCAGAGUCCGCAGCUUGUCUCGGACUCAGGUGGAAGAGCCUGGAGGGCAGAGCAGCCCCUGGUGGGAACCGAAACUAACCCCUCAAGCAGUAAGGACUGUCUUGAGCCAGCAAGACCCCGUUUGUGAUUGACCCCACGAUAGUAACGAAUUUGACCUUCACUGCCCACCUGCAGGACCCACCCGCCUUUGCCUCACGUUUUCCUUCCAUAAACCCGGACGUAUUUUUAGCAAUUUGAAGACAGUCUUUGAGCCGUCAGUCUUUGCGGUCUUUUGGUGUUCGCCUCACUUGAGAUACAUUCCUUUCUUAUACACCUAGACUAGAUUCUCUGCCUUUGGCUUUUGUCAGCAGAGAGGGAUCGAAUCCGGUCUGUUUGGGGACACCCCACCCCUCAAAGCCAGGUGCUCUUGCACCCCCGCCGCCAGCUAUCGCUGAGGAAAUAAAAAAUCUCAAACCAGUUCCUGGCAUAUGGGGAAUGGUGACCUCCUUUUAGUAUUAAUUUCCCAACCGUCUGUCAAGUCCCCCGAUUAGGGUCAGAUAUCCAACUGCGGUGACCUUUGCUCUUCUCUGAUUCCUGCCCAAUACUGGAUCAUUCCGGCCCCUUCUAAUCUCUCAUUUAGAAAGGGGAGGGUACAAUGGAAGUAACGUUGAGUUCCUACCUUGCCUGACUUCUCAGAAAGGGUUGCACAGAGGUGGAAAAAGUGACUCCUUGGCUACUAACAGCAAGGUUCUACCUAUACACCCAGCGUGGGGCCUGAACUCACAACCCCGAGAGCAAGAGUCGCACACGCCAUCAACAGAGCCAGGUGCCCCUGUUGUUCUUGAUGCUCUUAAAGAGUG